This 387-nucleotide ribosomal RNA is filed under the name uncultured bacterium. Its description in RNAcentral is "bacterial SSU rRNA". It matches the Rfam family "Bacterial small subunit ribosomal RNA", at positions 335 to 713 of the family's 1533-position model. The record is from RNAcentral.
ACUCCUACGGGAGGCAGCAGUGGGGAAUAUUGCACAAUGGGGGAAACCCUGAUGCAGCCAUGCCGCGUGUGUGAAGAAGGCCUUCGGGUUGUAAAGCACUUUCAGUAGGGAGGAAGGUAGUGUAGUUAACACCUGCAUUAUUUGUACGUUACCUACAGAAGAAGCACCGGCUAACUCCGUGCCAGCAGCCGCGGUAAUACGGAGGGUGCGAGCGUUAAUCGGAAUUACUGGGCGUAAAGCGCAUGCAGGCGGCCUGUUAAGUCAGAUGUGAAAGCCCGGGGUCUUAACCUCGGAAUUGCAUUUGAAACUGGCAGGCUAGAGUCUUGUAGAGGGGUUAGAAUUUCAGGUGUAGCGGUGAAAUGCGUAGAGAUCUGAAGGAAUACCAGU